CGAUAGCUGAUUUGUUUGACAGGUAAGAUAUCUCUGGGGCCAAUAUAUAUCCUUAGGGAACUGCCUCUGAUUAAGUCUUGGCUUUUUUACUGUGGUACCCACCUGUUUUUUCAGGCCACAUAGGAUUUAGAAACCAUCGGCAAUAUCGGCUAUCGU
This 156-nucleotide non-coding RNA is filed under the name SAR116 cluster bacterium. RNAcentral's name for it is "6S RNA". It matches the Rfam family "6S / SsrS RNA". Rfam says of the family: E. coli 6S RNA was the first non coding RNA to be sequenced, but its function was unknown until recently. It consists of 184 nucleotides that fold into an extended hairpin structure with a large single-stranded internal bulge. The record is from RNAcentral. Lineage: Bacteria; Pseudomonadati; Pseudomonadota; Alphaproteobacteria; Puniceispirillales (SeqCode).